UAAAGAAGAACACAUGAGUGCAGAAGGUAUCGAAUGGAAGGUGACAAAUGUAUGCGAUGUUUCUUUUCCUUUUCUUUCACUUCCUCUUCCUCUCUCUCUCACUGGAGUGGGAGAAGGGGGGAAAAACCAACCAACGGGGAAGACAGGAGGGAAAGGAAAUGAAGAGACGAAGAAAA
This 176-nucleotide non-coding RNA is filed under the name Chromera velia. Lineage: Eukaryota; Chromeraceae. The record is from RNAcentral.